GCAGCCGAGCGGUAGAGUCUCUUCGGRGACUUGAGAGCGGCGCACGGGUGCGGAACACGUGUGCAACCUGCCUUUAUCUGGGGGAUAGCCUUUCGAAAGGAAGAUUAAUACCCCAUAAUAUACUGGAUGGCAUCAUCUGGUAUUGAAAACUCCGGUGGAUAGAGAUGGGCACGCGCAAGAUUAGAUAGUUGGUGAGGUAACGGCUCACCAAGUCAGCGAUCUUUAGGGGGCCUGAGAGGGUGAUCCCCCACACUGGUACUGAGACACGGACCAGACUCCUACGGGAGGCAGCAGUGAGGAAUAUUGGACAAUGGGUGAGAGCCUGAUCCAGCCAUCCCGCGUGAAGGACGACGGCCCUAUGGGUUGUAAACUUCUUUUGUAUAGGGAUAAACCUAGAUACGUGUAUCUAGCUGAAGGUACUAUACGAAUAAGCACCGGCUAACUCCGUGCCAGCAGCCGCGGUAAUACGGAGGGUGCAAGCGUUAUCCGGAUUUAUUGGGUUUAAAGGGUCCGUAGGCUGAUGUGUAAGUCAGUGGUGAAAUCUCACAGCUUAACUGUGAAACUGCCAUUGAUACUGCAUGUCUUGAGUGUUGUUGAAGUAGCUGGAAUAAGUAGUGUAGCGGUGAAAUGCAUAGAUAUUACUUAGAACACCAAUUGCGAAGGCAGGUUACUAAGCAACAACUGACGCUGAUGGACGAAAGCGUGGGGAGCGAACAGGAUUAGAUACCCUGGUAGUCCACGCCGUAAACGAUGCUAACUCGUUUUUGGGUCGUCAGCUUCAGAGACUAAGCGAAAGUGAUAAGUUAGCCACCUGGGGAGUACGAACGCAAGUUUGAAACUCAAAGGAAUUGACGGGGGCCCGCACAAGCGGUGGAUUAUGUGGUUUAAUUCGAUGAUACGCGAGGAACCUUACCAAGGCUUAAAUGGGAAAUGACAGGUUUAGAAAUAGACUUUUCUUCGGACAUUUUUCAAGGUGCUGCAUGGUUGUCGUCAGCUCGUGCCGUGAGGUGUUAGGUUAAGUCCUGCAACGAGCGCAACCCCUGUCACUAGUUGCCAUCAUUAAGUUGGGGACUCUAGUGAGACUGCCUACGCAAGUAGAGAGGAAGGUGGGGAUGACGUCAAAUCAUCACGGCCCUUACGCCUUGGGCCACACACGUAAUACAAUGGCCGGUACAGAGGGCAGCUACACAGCGAUGUGAUGCAAAUCUCGAAAGCCGGUCUCAGUUCGGAUUGGAGUCUGCAACUCGACUCUAUGAAGCUGGAAUCGCUAGUAAUCGCGCAUCAGCCAUGGCGCGGUGAAUACGUUCCCGGGCCUUGUACACACCGCCCGUCAAGCCAUGGAAGUCUGGGGUACCUGAAGUCGGUGACCGUAACAGGAGCUG
This 1382-nucleotide ribosomal RNA is filed under the name Chryseobacterium rhizoplanae. RNAcentral's name for it is "bacterial SSU rRNA". The record is from RNAcentral. Lineage: Bacteria; Pseudomonadati; Bacteroidota; Flavobacteriia; Flavobacteriales; Weeksellaceae.